CGCAUAGAACAUUUUAAUGAAUAAAUAAAGGACUUUAUUCAUUCGAUGCUACUCGUACAAUAACGAAAUGCUAAAAAUUAUAACAACUCAAUGUAAAGGUUGAUGACCAACUGACCAACUUGCUGUAGAAGUCAUGCACCGAUGAGGAAUCAUGCAAUUUACCCUAUUAUAGCGGUUUCAGAGAGAAUUGGAAUGGGGGCUAUAGCCUAUAUGCGCUAUUUCUCAUGAAUGAGUAAUUCUUGGAAUUUCAAGAGUGCCAUGUUGUCACUUCAUGUUUUCAGCUUAUGUUUUAAAAGUAAAAUUAAAUUAUUAAACAAUUAACAGAUAACAGAAUUAAAUAAAAAUAUAAUGGACUAGAGGAUCAAGAAAAUGAAAAAUGAAACUAGAUUUAAUAACUAUUUUUUGUUAAAUGUUUUAAAAAAAAAAAAAAAGUUACAUAGUACCAAUCGUGCUAAAGUACCAGUUUAAAUAGUUACAUUUUAUAUGUUCAAUUAAGUCCCUGUUUGAGUCCCAUUUUUACCUCAUUAAAAUGAAAAAUAUGACCGUUAUCCAUCACAUCAAGUCACAAUUUUUGAAUUUCUAUUUCUGAUGUGGGGCCCAUAACGGCUCUAUUUCUCAUUCUUAUUUUCAUUAUAAUGUGGUUCAAACGGGCUCUAAAUGAGUUACGUGACUUUAUAUUUUGAUGAAUCAAUCAUUUAAGGCCAUGCAAUUACAACUUAGCCCUUGUUUGAUAUCCUUAAAUGUUUAAAAACAUUGUUUUGAAUAGUAUUUUUUGAAGAAUGUGUGGUUAAAAUGUAGGAAAAUUUUUAAAUUUAUGUGUGGAAUAUUUUAUUAUAUGAAUGUAUGAUCGAAAAUGAGUAUGAGAAAUAAAUUAAAGAAUGCCAAUCACGGGCUCGGAUCAGUGUUUAACACUGAUUGUG
RNAcentral lists this long non-coding RNA (920 nucleotides) under Olea europaea subsp. europaea. Lineage: Eukaryota; Viridiplantae; Streptophyta; Magnoliopsida; Lamiales; Oleaceae. The record is from RNAcentral.